Molecule: non-coding RNA, 2029 nt
Organism: Oryza sativa Japonica Group (Japanese rice)
Lineage: Eukaryota; Viridiplantae; Streptophyta; Magnoliopsida; Poales; Poaceae
Source: RefSeq, a predicted model, not a curated record
AUGUCCAUAUUUGUUGGGCCGGAACUCUCCUUAGGCCAGCCAACCCACAAGGCGUUUGGUCACUGACAUGUGGGCCAGCCAGACUCAUCCGCCUCGUUACACGCCUAGCGAUCCAAAAAUCCAGGGGCUCAUGUCGUAAUUACGAAUCAACCAGAGGGACCAGUUUGAAAAAAUCUCCUGCUCUACUGCAUCUGAGCCGCACGAUACGAUCGUACGGCUCAGGGAGACCACAGCCAGGGGGGGGCAGCUGACAUGUGGGGCCGGCCGACCUCUGCGUUGGUGUCGCAUUUCACUUCCACGCUUCUCUCCGGCCACCGGCGGCGACACCCGGAGGCCCCCGCCGGCGGCGGAACGCCGGCGAGCCGCGACCAAGGCUGGGCCUGCAUGCGCGACUACACGGGCUAUUUGAGACAACACCUUGCACGGAAGCUGCUCGAUUCAAUGUCCCUGAUAGAGCAAGUUCUUCCAGCGACAGGGAUGACCACCUCUAUCAAUGAGGAGAAUGCGCCUGACAGGAUUAGCAGACUACCAGACGGGCUGCUACGCUUUGUCAUGCUCUAUUUAACCGCGCAAGAGGCAGUGCAGACAUGCGUGCUAUCGCGGAGGUGGCAGAAUGUCUGGUCAUCUACAAAGUGGCUCAAAGCUGAUGCAGCAAAGUUCAGCAGCAUGAAAAGUUUCAAGAAGUUUGUUGACAAUUUGCUCCCGUACCGCAGACCUGUGCCACUGGAUGCACUUUUUAUUCUUGCCACCUGCAACCACUCUGAUGAUUCCCUUGAUUAUUCUGACAUCCAUCCAUGGAUUCGUCAUGCCCUUAGGAGCAAUGCCUGGGCUCUUGGCAUUAUGGAGCAUUGUGGCACCAAUCUUCUUUCAAUUGAUGGUUAUCCCUUUCCGUUCACCUCGGUCUACUUGUCUAUCUUGCACCUUUGCCAUUUCAUUAUAGAUGACAGUUUUGUCAAGAAGCUCUCUUCUUGUUGCCCGGUCUUAGAGGAUCUGGAGUUGAAAAACUGUGCCAUCAUUGUCACCAUGUUUUCCUCCACCACAUUGAAGAAUUUGCUCAUUAACUCUACAGAGACCACAGAGCAUUUCCCCCCCAAAAUUUGAGCAUCUUAUGAUAGAUAUGCCAAACCUAGUUACCCUGCAUCUAGAUGAGAUUCCAAACAGAAAUAUUCAGCUCGUGGACGUGUCAUCAGUGAAAAGGGCCACAUUUUACUUUUUUGAACUCUCUUUCCAAAAUUCUGCUGUUGACUGCAAUAUUAUCCCUGCUCUUUCCAAUGUCACAAGCUUGGAAUUGGUUUCUCCAACUGCCUAUGAAGAUGUGGUGCCAAAUGUGUUAAUCCGUAGUUUUCCAAGGUGUAAGACAUUCAGCAACCUGAAAUAUUUGAAGCUAGGUGAGUGGUUUUUGAGAGAUGGUUGCUAUCCUCUACUUUUCUUGCUUCGGCGCUCACCUAACAUAGAAAAACUUCACCUGCAACUUAACAAGUAUGGAUCUGAUGACUAUGAGGAUUACCCAGAUGCUGCUGCAGCAAUUGAUCCUACUUGCAGAGAAAUAGAAGAAAUGUUCAAUUGUGUAAAACUCAGGAAGAUCACAAUAUUCUACCCACAGGGUGAUGAAAGAGUGCACAUCAUUGUGAGGAUCUUGAUUGCGAAUAUUAGCCCUCUCCCUGCAAUUAAAAUCAAGCCCACCCCGGUUUAGCAUGGUGGUCUGGAUUUUGGUGGCUGAGGCCUGAGGUGUCUAUCUGGCUGGGUUAGAGAUUCCAGUGCCUGGAUGUUGUUGGAAGAUUUGUUCAACUGUUCUUUCUCCUUUUGGUGACGAUACUUGUGACUUGUCUAUUGCAACUGCGUACUUGAUCUGUAAAAGUUCGAUUUAAUUCAGCGUUUGGCGAAUUUGGAUGCACUUGUGCGUCUUGAUUAAUUCCUGGCAAGGUUUGGGAGGUUUUAUUAGGGGUGCUGUAUGAGAAGCCCCCAAAACAAUGGAAUCAUCUGGCCAUGAAGGCCAUGGCCCUGUUGUUUCAUUGGAGCUUCACAUGGU